Molecule: ribosomal RNA, 1212 nt
Filed under: Latilactobacillus sakei
Lineage: Bacteria; Bacillati; Bacillota; Bacilli; Lactobacillales; Lactobacillaceae
Description: bacterial SSU rRNA
Rfam family: Bacterial small subunit ribosomal RNA
Source: RNAcentral
UAAAGGCUCACCAAGACCGUGAUGCAUAGCCGACCUGAGAGGGUAAUCGGCCACACUGGGACUGAGACACGGCCCAGACUCCUACGGGAGGCAGCAGUAGGGAAUCUUCCACAAUGGACGAAAGUCUGAUGGAGCAACGCCGCGUGAGUGAAGAAGGUUUUCGGAUCGUAAAACUCUGUUGUUGGAGAAGAAUGUAUCUGAUAGUAACUGAUCAGGUAGUGACGGUAUCCAACCAGAAAGCCACGGCUAACUACGUGCCAGCAGCCGCGGUAAUACGUAGGUGGCAAGCGUUGUCCGGAUUUAUUGGGCGUAAAGCGAGCGCAGGCGGUUUCUUAAGUCUGAUGUGAAAGCCUUCGGCUCAACCGAAGAAGUGCAUCGGAAACUGGGAAACUUGAGUGCAGAAGAGGACAGUGGAACUCCAUGUGUAGCGGUGAAAUGCGUAGAUAUAUGGAAGAACACCAGUGGCGAAGGCGGCUGUCUGGUCUGUAACUGACGCUGAGGCUCGAAAGCAUGGGUAGCAAACAGGAUUAGAUACCCUGGUAGUCCAUGCCGUAAACGAUGAGUGCUAGGUGUUGGAGGGUUUCCGCCCUUCAGUGCCGCAGCUAACGCAUUAAGCACUCCGCCUGGGGAGUACGACCGCAAGGUUGAAACUCAAAGGAAUUGACGGGGGCCCGCACAAGCGGUGGAGCAUGUGGUUUAAUUCGAAGCAACGCGAAGAACCUUACCAGGUCUUGACAUCCUUUGACCACUCUAGAGAUAGAGCUUUCCCUUCGGGGACAAAGUGACAGGUGGUGCAUGGUUGUCGUCAGCUCGUGUCGUGAGAUGUUGGGUUAAGUCCCGCAACGAGCGCAACCCUUAUUACUAGUUGCCAGCAUUUAGUUGGGCACUCUAGUGAGACUGCCGGUGACAAACCGGAGGAAGGUGGGGACGACGUCAAAUCAUCAUGCCCCUUAUGACCUGGGCUACACACGUGCUACAAUGGAUGGUACAACGAGUUGCGAGACCGCGAGGUUUAGCUAAUCUCUUAAAACCAUUCUCAGUUCGGAUUGUAGGCUGCAACUCGCCUACAUGAAGCCGGAAUCGCUAGUAAUCGCGGAUCAGCAUGCCGCGGUGAAUACGUUCCCGGGCCUUGUACACACCGCCCGUCACACCAUGAGAGUUUGUAACACCCAAAGCCGGUGAGGUAACCCUUCGGGGAGCCAGCCGUCUAAG